RNAcentral lists this long non-coding RNA (915 nucleotides) under Triticum aestivum (bread wheat). RNAcentral describes it as "long non-coding RNA (TAES_LNC028052)". Lineage: Eukaryota; Viridiplantae; Streptophyta; Magnoliopsida; Poales; Poaceae. The record is from RNAcentral.
ACAAGAUAGGCUCAACCCUAUAUUUGGGUUCGACAACACAACACGACAAGAUAGGCUCAACCCUAUAUUUGGGUUCGACAAUAUGACACGACAAGAUAGGCUCAACCCUAUAUUUGGGUUCGACAAUAUGACACGACAAAAUAGGCUCAACCCUAUACUUGCGUUCGAAAAUAUGACACGACAAUAGGCUCAACCCAACUUAGUCUCAAACAUACAUCAUAAUUCAACUAGCAUCACAAACAACAAGACAGAAUAGAUCAACAUGUAGCAUCACAAACAACAAGCAAGAAUAGUUCAACAUGUAGCAUCACCAACAACAAGCCAGAAUAGUUCAACAUGUAGCAUCACAAACAACAAUCCCAACUAGUUCAGCAUAGACUCAAACAACAUGACACAAUAGUCUGAAACAUACAUAAUAAUUUAAGCACUGCAUCAUCAUCUUCACUCCUCCAAGAUUGCCUUCAUCAUCUUCAGCUUCCUCUUGUUCUCCUCUCCAACCUUCCAAAGGUCAUGUAAGUUAUAUUCAAGUUGUUUCUUCUCCUUUUUGAGCUCAGCAGCAACCUCUUCAGCCACUUCAACCUUCUUUUUCAGAUCAAAGAUCUCUUUCUCUAAGUUGAUCAUCUUGUCAGCUGCAUCUAGAGAUAUCUUCUCCUCAUCCACAUCCAUCAUUAUUUUCCUAUAAUUCUCCUUGUGCACAGACUUCUGAACAGAUUCACAAAAGUCCUUGGUAAGCUGAAGGUGCUGGUUGUACUUUUCCUGUACCAUCUUAAUUUCUGCUUCUAACUUGGAGAUCUUCUCCUCAUUAGCUAAAUUAUCUCCAAUUCUGCCUGCCUUGGCUUCCUUAUACAGAGCCCAGAGUUUUGUCAGUGAAUUCUUUAAUGCAUAAGGCCAUUCAUUGUCCACCCAUUCCACAAC